CGGGUGAGUAACGCGUGGAAACCUAGCCGUAUACUGGGGGAUAACACUUAGAAAUAGGUGCUAAUACCGCAUAAGCGCACAGCUUCGCAUGAAGCAGUGUGAAAAACUCCGGUGGUAUACGAUGGUUCCGCGUCUGAUUAGCUAGUUGGUGAGGUAAAAGCCCACCAAGGCGACGAUCAGUAGCCGGCCUGAGAGGGUGAACGGCCACAUUGGGACUGAGACACGGCCCAGACUCCUACGGAAGGCAGCAG
Molecule: ribosomal RNA, 251 nt
Filed under: uncultured bacterium
Lineage: Bacteria
Description: partial 16S ribosomal RNA
Rfam family: Bacterial small subunit ribosomal RNA
Source: RNAcentral